CAGCAGCCGCGGUAAUACGUAGGGGGCAAGCGUUAUCCGGAUUUACUGGGUGUAAAGGGAGCGUAGACGGCUGUGCAAGUCUGAAGUGAAGGGCAUGGGCUCAACCUGUGGACUGCUUUGGAAACUGUGCAGCUAGAGUGUCGGAGAGGUAAGUGGAAUUCCUAGUGUAGCGGUGAAAUGCGUAGAUAUUAGGAGGAACACCAGUGGCGAAGGCGGCUUACUGGACGAUGACUGACGUUGAGGCUCGAAAGCGUGGGGAGCAAACAGGAUUAGAUACCCUGGUAGUCCACGCCGUAAACGAUGACUGCUAGGUGUCGGGUAGCAAAGCUAUUCGGUGCCGCAGCUAACGCAAUAAGCAGUCCACCUGGGGAGU
RNAcentral lists this ribosomal RNA (373 nucleotides) under uncultured bacterium. RNAcentral's name for it is "bacterial SSU rRNA". It matches the Rfam family "Bacterial small subunit ribosomal RNA", at positions 509 to 881 of the family's 1533-position model. The record is from RNAcentral.